AUACAGAGGGUGCAAGCGUUAAUCGGAAUUACUGGGCGUAAAGCGCGCGUAGGCGGUUUAAUCAGUCGGAUGUGAAAGCCCCGGGCUCAACCUGGGAACUGCAUUCGAUACUGUUAAGCUAGAGUAUGGUAGAGGGAAGUGGAAUUCCAGGUGUAGCGGUGAAAUGCGUAGAUAUCUGGAGGAACAUCAGUGGCGAAGGCGACUUCCUGGACCAAUACUGACGCUGAGGUGCGAAAGCGUGGGGAGCAAACAGGAUUAGAAACCCUAGUAGUCC
Molecule: ribosomal RNA, 274 nt
Filed under: uncultured bacterium
Lineage: Bacteria
Description: partial 16S ribosomal RNA
Rfam family: Bacterial small subunit ribosomal RNA
Source: RNAcentral